Molecule: long non-coding RNA, 356 nt
Filed under: Coturnix japonica (Japanese quail)
Lineage: Eukaryota; Metazoa; Chordata; Aves; Galliformes; Phasianidae
Description: lncRNA (ENSCJPG00005009548.1)
Source: RNAcentral
GCAGCAUUCCUGCUCCCCGGAGAAGCCUGUCUUGAAGUCUUUUCUCCUUGAGUCUUUCCUCUCAAGUGAGAGUGGGAGGCACAGAUUGAAAGUGUUUUCCUCUAGGAUCCUUCCCCAAAGGGAUUUAUAAAACCAAAGAACAGAAAAAAGCCCAUCACGCUUCAAGGGAACAAAAUGAGAAUUCUGGCCUAAAGAAAGAGACAAGGAAAGAGCUGGUUGAUUCAUAUUCUGUAGAAGCAAUGGCUGCAUCAUCACAGUUUUCUUCUCCGCUGGCAAGCUCUGACCCAGUGUAAUCUACUGAAGUUAAAAGAAGAACAACCCAGCAGGUAUCUCCCACCAUUCCUAGAUAUGGAACC